CUUGCUUGGUGGCGCACUUGGACAAGUUCUUGGUGGGCUAACGUAUACUUUUAAUUUACCAAAUUAAUGUUACCAAGCCCGCUACUAAAGCGGGCUUUUUGUU
Vibrio coralliilyticus is the source of this 103-nucleotide non-coding RNA. NCBI's taxonomy places the organism in Bacteria, Pseudomonadati, Pseudomonadota, Gammaproteobacteria, Vibrionales, Vibrionaceae. The record is from Rfam.